Molecule: transfer RNA, 74 nt
Rfam family: tRNA
About the family: Transfer RNA (tRNA) molecules are approximately 80 nucleotides in length.
CCCCGGGUAGCUCAGUUGGCCAGAGCGCACGGCUGUAGACCGUGAGGUCGCGAGUUCGAGUCUCGCUCCGGGGA